Molecule: long non-coding RNA, 322 nt
Filed under: Theobroma cacao (cacao)
Lineage: Eukaryota; Viridiplantae; Streptophyta; Magnoliopsida; Malvales; Malvaceae
Description: long non-coding RNA (TCAC_LNC000514)
Source: RNAcentral
GAUACGAGAGCCUUGCGAGGUUUCGAUCAACAUUCGGGGUGAAGAAUAUUUGUCGAGGCUUCGCGGCGGUUGUCACGGGCUCGAUGGGGAGUUCCGGAUCGUGACAUAAUAAGGAUAAUUUUAUUUUUUUAUGAAAAUAAAUGUUAAUAUAAUAAAGGUUAUUUUUAUCUUUUAUCACAUAUUCCUGUUUUAUUCCAAUCUUAUUUUGACCAAUAAAAUACUGUAAUAAAUCAUAAUAGUAAUUUUUACUCUAUUUCAUUCAUUAUACCAAACAAAGUAAACCAAACGUGCUGUAAAAGUUAAGAUUAUUUAGGAUAAUGUG